UCUUAUGGAGAACACACAACACACUGCUCUAGUAUUUCGGGUGUCCAUGGGUGGCGUAAACUGCUUAUCACCAGGUGAUCCGUCUCCUCGUUUGUUGUCCCAUACAUCGCCACCACCUGCGGACUACCUAGCGGGUUACCGGGGCUCCAGCUCGAAAAGCAGGAGUAAGAACAGGGUGGUUUUUAGUCAGUAAGAGUCUGACACUCCCUCUCUCCACACCCAAGGCGGGAGAAGUCAUUAGAUCAUUUUCCCCCUUAAAAAAAGUGAUGCGGGUGUUCAUUGCCCAUCUGCCCGUUUGCCGCCCCAUACAUGACACAAACUGGCGACCACUUAGCGAGUUAUCGGCGCUCCGGCUCGAAAAGCAGGAGUAGGAACGGGGUGGUUCUUAGUCAGUAAGAGUCUGACACUGCCUCUCUCAACACCCAAGGCGAGAGAAAGUCAUUGGAUGACUUCUCCCCCCUUAAAAACUUACCUUUUAACAACAAGGCGGGGAAGAAGUCAUUGAAUUUUUUUAUGUUAAAUGGGCCGACGUUUGGCCGCUAUCUCGCCUGAUGGUAAGUGAUGAUGCGGCCUACGAUGGAGCACGUCUGCCCAUAAGCAACCUAUUCACUCGGGCUUUGAAGACACCCAGGGGCCUUAGUCUGCUAUUACAAUUGUGUCAGAAUGGUCGAUCAUUGAGCAGUGCAAGAGGGACGGAGCUAUGUAGGUUGUAUAGCUCCAACCCUCUUGCACUGAUCAAUGAUCGACCAUUCUGACACAAUUGUAAUAGCAGACUAAGGCCCCUGGUUAUACCCAUCAGGAAACAUGUACGUAGGACAUAGCCGCCGCGUCACACCGCAUCGCGUUGGAUUCGCGUCUAAAUCGCUCACACAAGACGUCACAUAACUGCCGUAUUCAGAAUCAUUUAAUGCUUACUUAACCCAGUCCUUAGCAAUUAUUUUCGGAACAAGGUCUAAAUCGUAACUAAGGAAUAGUUUAAGUAAUCAUUAAAUGUUUUUGAGUACGGCAGAAAAUUACCGAAUUUGAUAUCAUCCCGGUUUCUUAUAGACUAGCUACUGUCCGCUGCUAGGCUCCUAUUGGUUGUAGCGUGAUGUUUUAUAGCCUUCCUCGAUAAAUGGACUAUUCAACACAAACAAUAUUAAUUAAUUUGAACCAAGUGAGACUUAACAAUCUCUACACUACACGAGUCACUGUUUACAUGUCGACAUUAGCUCAUGACGAUACCAGCGUACGUGUGUCACUGGACAGUGAAC
Molecule: long non-coding RNA, 1253 nt
Organism: Spodoptera frugiperda (fall armyworm)
Lineage: Eukaryota; Metazoa; Arthropoda; Insecta; Lepidoptera; Noctuidae
Exons: 3
Source: RefSeq, a predicted model, not a curated record